CCCCUGUCAGGGUCACACCUGGAGAGUUUCUAGUACUCUACCAGGCUAGGCUAUGGGAGGGAGAGUCUAGCAGAGACCUACCCAUUCCAUUCCUAGCUUGGGCAGUGGCUAGUGUGUGGAAGACAAUCUGCAGCAAGU
Tachyglossus aculeatus (Australian echidna) is the source of this 138-nucleotide small nucleolar RNA. NCBI's taxonomy places the organism in Eukaryota, Metazoa, Chordata, Mammalia, Monotremata, Tachyglossidae. The record is from RefSeq and is a predicted model, not a curated record.